Molecule: ribosomal RNA, 398 nt
Filed under: uncultured bacterium
Lineage: Bacteria
Description: partial 16S ribosomal RNA
Rfam family: Bacterial small subunit ribosomal RNA
Source: RNAcentral
AUACGUAGGGUGCGAGCGUUGUCCGGAAUUACUGGGCGUAAAGAGCUCGUAGGUGGUUUGUCGCGUCGUCUGUGAAAUUCCGGGGCUUAACUCCGGGCGUGCAGGCGAUACGGGCAUAACUUGAGUACUGUAGGGGAGACUGGAAUUCCUGGUGUAGCGGUGAAAUGCGCAGAUAUCAGGAGGAACACCGGUGGCGAAGGCGGUGCUCUGGGCAGUAACUGACGCUGGGGAGCGAAAGCAUGGGUAGCGAACAGGAUUAGAUACCCUGGUAGUCCAUGCCGUAAACGGUGGGCGCUAGGUGUAGGGGUCUUCCACGACUUCUGUGCCGUAGCUAACGCAUUAAGCGCCCCGCCUGGGGAGUACGGCCGCAAGGCUAAAACUUAAAGGAAUUGACGGGG